This 725-nucleotide ribosomal RNA is filed under the name Dendropsophus ebraccatus (hourglass treefrog). RNAcentral's name for it is "partial 16S ribosomal RNA". It matches the Rfam family "Bacterial large subunit ribosomal RNA", at positions 1850 to 2835 of the family's 2925-position model. The record is from RNAcentral. Lineage: Eukaryota; Metazoa; Chordata; Amphibia; Anura; Hylidae.
GAGUCAGCCUGCCCAGUGACUAAAUUCAACGGCCGCGGUAUCCUAACCGUGCGAAGGUAGCGUAAUCACUUGUUCUUUAAAUGAGGACUAGUAUGAAUGGCACCACGAGGGUUAUACUGUCUCCUUUUUCUAAUCAAUGAAACUGAUCUCCCCGUGAAGAAGCGGGGAUAAGACUACCAGACGAGAAGACCCUAUGGAGCUUCAAACAACAUAGCAAUGGCUUAUUUACCAAUAUAAUUUCAGAAUACCUACACUUAUCAUAGCCNUUUUGACUAUUAGUUUUGGGUUGGGGUGACCACGGAGCAAAACCUAACCUCCAUGUUGGANNUAGAUCUCCUCUUGAGCCAAAAGCCACAACUUUAAGCACCAAUAAACUGACAUAAAUUGACCCAAUAUUUUGAGCAACGAACCAAGUUACCCUAGGGAUAACAGCGCAAUCCACUUCAAGAGCCCCUAUCGACAAGUGGGUUUACGACCUCGAUGUUGGAUCAGGGUAUCCCAGUGGUGCAGCCGCUACUAAAGGUUCGUUUGUUCAACGAUUAAAACCCUACGUGAUCUGAGUUCAGACCGGAGCAAUCCAGGUCAGUUUCUAUCUAUAAAGGGCUUUUUCUAGUACGAAAGGACCGAAAAAGCGUGGCCAAUACUUCAAGCAAGCCACCCCUUAUUAUUUAUGAACUAACCUCAAUAAAAAAUUAACCUAACANCCUNUUUCCAAGAUAAAGGAG